GUGCUCCCUUCAGCAGCACAUAUACUAAAAUUGGAACAAUAUAGAAAUUAACAAGCCCCCUGUACAAAGAUGAAAUUUGAGUUCAUGAAGAGUUCCAUAUUUUU
This is a non-coding RNA of Myotis davidii, 104 nucleotides long. NCBI's taxonomy places the organism in Eukaryota, Metazoa, Chordata, Mammalia, Chiroptera, Vespertilionidae. The record is from Rfam.